This 72-nucleotide transfer RNA is filed under the name Camelus bactrianus (Bactrian camel). It matches the Rfam family "tRNA". From Rfam's summary of the family: Transfer RNA (tRNA) molecules are approximately 80 nucleotides in length. Their secondary structure includes four short double-helical elements and three loops (D, anti-codon, and T loops). The record is from Rfam by way of RNAcentral. RNAcentral also lists the same sequence under 2 other names. Lineage: Eukaryota; Metazoa; Chordata; Mammalia; Artiodactyla; Camelidae.
GAGGGUAUAGCUCAGUGGUAGAGUGUGUGCUUAGCAUGCAAAAAGUCAGGGGUUCAAUCCCUAGCACCUCCA